UCCGCAGUAGCACAACGGCAAAUUUCAAAUGGUUGAAAUCCAGGUUCAAAUCCUGGCUGCGGAA
Molecule: transfer RNA, 64 nt
Filed under: Cucumis sativus (cucumber)
Lineage: Eukaryota; Viridiplantae; Streptophyta; Magnoliopsida; Cucurbitales; Cucurbitaceae
Rfam family: tRNA
About the family: Transfer RNA (tRNA) molecules are approximately 80 nucleotides in length.
Source: Rfam by way of RNAcentral